GGUGCUAUAGUGUAGUGGUUAUCACUCGGGAUUUUGACUAUGAACUCAAAUUCCCGAAACCCAGGUUCGAACCCUGGUAGCACCU
This is a transfer RNA of Coprinopsis cinerea okayama7#130, 85 nucleotides long. It matches the Rfam family "tRNA". From Rfam's summary of the family: Transfer RNA (tRNA) molecules are approximately 80 nucleotides in length. Their secondary structure includes four short double-helical elements and three loops (D, anti-codon, and T loops). The record is from Rfam. Lineage: Eukaryota; Fungi; Basidiomycota; Agaricomycetes; Agaricales; Psathyrellaceae.